AAUCAACGCUGGCGGCGUGCCUCAGACAUGCAAGUCGAACGCGAAAUUUCCCUUCGGGGAGAAAGUAGAGUGGCGCACGGGUGAGUAACACGUAGGUAAUUUGCCUUUGGGUGGGGAAUAACUCAGGGAAACUUGAGCUAAUACCGCAUAAUGCAGCGGCUCGACAUCGAGACAGUUGUUAAAGCGGGGGAUUGGAGCAAUCCGACCUCGCGCCUAAAGAGAAGCCUGCGGCAGAUUAGCUAGUUGGUAAGGUAAUGGCUUACCAAGGCGACGAUCUGUAACCGGCCUGAGAGGGCGGUCGGUCACACUGACACUGACAUACGGGUCAGACUCCUACGGGAGGCAGCAGUCGGGAA
This 356-nucleotide ribosomal RNA is filed under the name uncultured bacterium. RNAcentral describes it as "bacterial SSU rRNA". It matches the Rfam family "Bacterial small subunit ribosomal RNA", at positions 32 to 361 of the family's 1533-position model. The record is from RNAcentral.